GAUUUCAAUUGAAAAAGUCAUCAACAACAAAGUUGUAUAACUCAUCAAGAUCUAUAACUUUUAUUUUGGUCAUUUCUUUAUCUGACAAAGUGAUAGUAACAUUGUUCACAAAAUUCACAUAUCUCGUCUGGUUUUAUAAACUAUAACACAGAUAUGUCAAUUUUGUGAACAAUGUUACUAAUACUUCGUCGGAUGAAGAAAUGACAAAAGCAAAAGUUAUAGAUAUUGAUGAGUUAUACAACUUUGUUAUUGAUGACUUUUUUAGUUGAAAUC
This is a microRNA precursor of Oryza sativa Japonica Group (Japanese rice), 273 nucleotides long. It matches the Rfam family "MIR821 microRNA precursor family". Lineage: Eukaryota; Viridiplantae; Streptophyta; Magnoliopsida; Poales; Poaceae. The record is from Rfam.